GACGAACGCUGGCGGCGUGCUUAACACAUGCAAGUCGUACGGUAAGGCCCUUUCGGGGGUACACGAGUGGCGCACGGGUGCGUAACACGUGAGUAACCUGCCCACAACUUUGGGAUAACGCUAGGAAACUGGUGCUAAUACUGGAUAUGUGCUCCUUCUGCAUGGUGGGGGUUGGAAAGCUCCGGCGGUUGUGGAUGGACUCGCUGCCUAUCAGCUUGUUGGUGGGGUAGUGGCCUACCAAGGCGGCGUCGGGUAGCCGGCCUGAGAGGGUGACCGGCCACAUUGGGACUGAGGUACGGCACAGACAGCGACGGGAGGCAGAAGUGGGGAAGCUUGAACAAUGGGCGCAAGCCUGAUGCAGCAACGCCGCGUGCGGGAUGACGGUCUUAGGGUUGUAAACCGCGUUCAGCAGGGACGAAGCUUUUUGUGACGGUACCUGCAGAAGAAGCACCGGCUAACUACGUG
RNAcentral lists this ribosomal RNA (465 nucleotides) under uncultured bacterium. RNAcentral's name for it is "partial 16S ribosomal RNA". It matches the Rfam family "Bacterial small subunit ribosomal RNA", at positions 28 to 507 of the family's 1533-position model. The record is from RNAcentral.